RNAcentral lists this ribosomal RNA (1425 nucleotides) under uncultured bacterium. RNAcentral describes it as "16S ribosomal RNA". It matches the Rfam family "Bacterial small subunit ribosomal RNA". The record is from RNAcentral.
UGAACGCUGGCGGCGUGGUUAAGACAUGCAAGUCGCACGGGAGCCGCAAGGCUCUAGUGGCGCAAGGGUGAGUAAUGUAUCGCUAACGUACCCCGGACUCUGGGAUAGCUGCCCGAAAGGGCAGGUAAUACCAGAUAAUAUAUCCAAACCGCAUGGUUAUGGAUCUCAAAGGUGCGCCGGUCUGGGCGCGGGCGAUAUCGUAUCAGCUAGUUGGUGAGGUAACGGCUCACCAAGGCGACGACGCGUAGCCGGACUGAGAGGUCGGUCGGCCACAUCGGGACUGAGACACUGCCCGGACUCCUACGGGGGGCUGCAGUAACGAAUCUUCCCCAAUGGGCGCAAGCCUGAGGGAGCGACGCCGCGUGGAGGAUGAAGUCCUUCGGGAUGUAAACUCCUGUCAGGGGUUACCAAGAUACUGAGGAGCCCCAGAGGAAGAGGCGGCUAACUCUGUGCCAGCAGCCGCGGUAAGACAGAGGCCUCGAGCGUUAGGCGGAAUCACUGGGCUUAAAGCGUGUGUAGGCGGAUCGUUAAGUGCCUUGUGAAAUCCCACGGCUUAACUGUGGAACGGCUGGGCAUACUGGCGGUCUUGAGCCAUCUAGGGGCGACUGGAACAAACGGUGGAGCGGUGAGAUGCGUAGAUAUCGUUUGGAACGCCAAUGGUGAAAACAGGUCGCUGGGGAUGGGCUGACGCUGAGACACGAAAGCCAGGGGAGCAAACGGGAUUAGAUACCCCGGUAGUCCUGGCCCUAAACGAUGUCCACUAGAUCGCAGGACCUCUGACGGUUUUGCGGUCGAAGCAAAAGUGCUAAGUGGACCGCCUGGGAAGUACGGUCGCAAGGCUAAAACUCAAAGGAAUUGACGGGGGCUCACACAAGCGGUGGAGCAUGUGGUUCAAUUCGAAGCAACGCGCAGAACCUUACCUGGGCUUGACAUGCUUGGAUUAUCCCCGUGAAAGCGGGGUAGGCCCUUCGGGGUACAACAAGUACAGGUGCUGCAUGGCUGUCGUCAGCUCGUGUCGUGAGAUGUCGGGUUAAGUCCCAUAACGAGCGAAACCUUUGCCCUUAGUUACCAUCAGGUUAUGCUGGGGACUCUAGGGGGACUGCCGGUGUCAAACCGGAGGAAGGUGGAGAUGACGUCAAGUCCUCAUGGCCUUUAUGCCCAGGGCCACACACGUGCUACAAUGGCGUCGACAAAGCGAGCCUAAAGCGCAAGCUGGUGGGAAACGCAAAAAUGACGCCCCAGUUCAGAUCGGAGGCUGCAACUCGCCUCCGUGAAGUUGGAAUCGCUAGUAAUCGCGGAUCAGCUACGCCGCGGUGAAUGUGUUCCUGAGCCUUGUACACACCGCCCGUCAAGUCAUGGGAGCCGGAAAUAGCCGAAGUCGCUGUGAUACAGCAGUGCCUACGCUAGGUUCGGUGACUGGGACUA